UACGAAGGGGGGCUAGCGUUGUUCGGAAUUACUGGGCGUAAAGCGUAUGCAGGCGGACUUUUAAGUCGGGGGUGAAAUCCCGAGGCUCAACCUCGGAACUGCCUUCGAUACUGGAAGUCUUGAGUCCGGGAGAGGUGAGUGGAACUCCGAGUGUAGAGGUGAAAUUCGUAGAUAUUCGGAAGAACACCAGUGGCGAAGGCGGCUCACUGGCCCGGUACUGACGCUGAGAUACGAAAGCGUGGGGAGCAAACAGG
Molecule: ribosomal RNA, 254 nt
Filed under: uncultured bacterium
Lineage: Bacteria
Description: partial 16S ribosomal RNA
Rfam family: Bacterial small subunit ribosomal RNA
Source: RNAcentral